Molecule: ribosomal RNA, 305 nt
Filed under: uncultured bacterium
Lineage: Bacteria
Description: bacterial SSU rRNA
Rfam family: Bacterial small subunit ribosomal RNA
Source: RNAcentral
CCUACGGGAGGCAGCAGUGAGGAAUAUUGGUCAAUGGCCGGAAGGCUGAACCAGCCAAGCCGCGUGAGGGAGGAAGGCGCAGAGCGUCGCAGACCUCUUUUGCCGGGGGACAAAAGGCCGGACGGGUCCGGUUCUGAGGGUACCCGGAGAAAAAGCAUCGGCUAACUCCGUGCCAGCAGCCGCGGUAAUACGGAGGAUGCGAGCGUUAUCCGGAUUCAUUGGGUUUAAAGGGUGCGUAGGCGGAUUUUUAAGUCAGCGGUAAAAUGUCCGGGCUCAACCCGGGCCGGCCGUUGAAACUGGGGAUC